AACUGUUGUCGUAACAAAAAAGAUGAUUUUUCCUAUCAAAACAGAGUAAAUCUUCAUCAACUUUCUCUUCUCCUCAGGGAACCGCAGACAUAGAGAUCGACAGAGCUUAUGUAUAGAAGCCUAAACUGGAGCAGUAUUUGAAGAUCAUCCGUCAAUAUAGCUUCGAUCUCAAGCUGUGUUGAAGGAUAUAUACUUCAAAUCGAAGAUGAAAAAUAAUCUCUAUAGAAGGUGUUGAUUAAACAUGCAAGAUCAUCAAUGGCUGAUCAAGCUCACCUCGUACACAAAAGUUAAGUGAAGAAUACAAAUAGAUUUCCAACAUAUAUGAUUCGAGAUAGUCAGAAUUAACAUACGAAGGUAACAAGAGAAACUGACACGAAACAUUGAAGACAAAGAGGAAGAAAGGGAGAGAGAUAAUAAGACGAUGUAGAUCGAAUCUCUAUAGAUAAUAAGCAGUACCAUAUUGGUUUAACUGGGCAGAUCUCCACCAAGAUAAUGCCUAAGCUCACAUAGACAUUGAACGACAAACUGUUUGAUCAUAUAUUGGACUAACUGUGCAGACAGUAAGAUAUAUGUCGGAAAAGAGAGAAUGUACAUUCGUGUGUGUUGGAGAUCAAAACACAUAUAUAUUCCAAACAUCAUCCAGAAAAGAGGUUAGGAAAAAAGUUAGAAAUAUACUUUCGCCUUUUUAGUACUCAAAUUAAAAUUAAGUUAGUAAUAAAAAGAAAUCAAUUUCGAAACAGCAUCGGUUAGAACUAAGAUUGAACAUUUGCCUUACAAUUUCUGCUUGGCUUGUCACUGAUUAUUGCUGUAUUAAUGGUACUUGAAUUUCUGUGUUUGAUAUAAUAUUGGACGGUAAUUUUUAGUUUAUCUAAAACAUGAAUACUUAGAAAAAUAAAAGCAUUAGUUCACUAAAAUAUAAAUGUUGCUAAAACGAAAGAAUGAAAUCAGUCUGAGUUCCUCCUAAACAUACAAUCCAGAUCCUUGCUUUAGUGAAAUCUGCAAUAAUCAAAUAAUUUAUUAGAUAAAAAACCACAUGAUUUUAUUCAUAUAACCUACUCGAAUCUACUUACAUCAUACAAAACGAUUACUUAUAAGAGAUUAAGUAGUUCACUACUUAAAAUUGUCUUUAAAAUGGCAUACCUUGUCACUCCUUGACGUGUACUCUCG
Molecule: long non-coding RNA, 1167 nt
Organism: Raphanus sativus (radish)
Lineage: Eukaryota; Viridiplantae; Streptophyta; Magnoliopsida; Brassicales; Brassicaceae
Exons: 4
Source: RefSeq, a predicted model, not a curated record